UACGUAGGCAGCGAGCGUUGUUCGGAUUUACUGGGCGUAAAGAGUAUGUAGGCGGUUUGGCAAGUCUGGUGUGAAAUCUCCCGGCUUAACUGGGAGGGUGCGCCGAAAACUGCGUGGCUAGAGUGUGGGAGAGGAAAGCGGAAUUCCUGGUGUAGCGGUGAAAUGCGUAGAUAUCAGGAGGAACACCGGCGGUGUAGACGGCUUUCUGGACCAUUACUGACGCUGAGAUACGAAAGCGUGGGUAGCAAACAGG
This 253-nucleotide ribosomal RNA is filed under the name uncultured bacterium. RNAcentral's name for it is "partial 16S ribosomal RNA". It matches the Rfam family "Bacterial small subunit ribosomal RNA", at positions 524 to 776 of the family's 1533-position model. The record is from RNAcentral.